UGGGGAAUAUUGCACAAUGGAGGGAACUCUGAUGCAGCGACGCCGCGUGAACGAAGAAGGCUUUCGAGUCGUAAAGUUCUUUUAUAUGGGAAGAUAAUGACGGUACCAUAAGAAAAAGCCCCGGCUAACUACGUGCCAGCAGCCGCGGUAAUACGUAGGGGGCUAGCGUUGUCCGGAAUCACUGGGCGUAAAGGGUUCGCAGGCGGAAAUGCAAGUCAGGUGUAAAAGGCAGUAGCUUAACUACUGUAAGCAUUUGAAACUGCAUAUCUUGAGAAGAGUAGAGGUAAGUGGAAUUUUUAGUGUAGCGGUGAAAUGCGUAGAUAUUAAAAAGAAUACCGGUGGCGAAGGCGACUUACUGGGCUCAUUCUGACGCUGAGGAACGAGAGCGUGGGUAGCAAACAGG
RNAcentral lists this ribosomal RNA (403 nucleotides) under Fusobacteriota bacterium. Its description in RNAcentral is "Fusobacteria bacterium partial 16S ribosomal RNA". It matches the Rfam family "Bacterial small subunit ribosomal RNA", at positions 355 to 776 of the family's 1533-position model. The record is from RNAcentral. Lineage: Bacteria; Fusobacteriati; Fusobacteriota.